RNAcentral lists this long non-coding RNA (582 nucleotides) under Anser brachyrhynchus (Pink-footed goose). RNAcentral describes it as "lncRNA (ENSABRG00000013086.1)". The record is from RNAcentral. Lineage: Eukaryota; Metazoa; Chordata; Aves; Anseriformes; Anatidae.
CCAGGGUUAUAGCAUGUGGAUGCAAGUUGGAAGAAGAAUGAGGAACUUUAAUUUUUUUUUUCAGGGUUCUGCUGUAUUGUAGUAUGCUCCAUGGAGCUACACAAGGCUUUACCCAACUACUACAGCAAGCCAUCACAAGAUUAAGAAUAAAAAGAAACCUUCACCUCCAAGUUUUCUUGCUUUUGUCAGUUAAUACUAGUAGCAUGCGAACUUUAAAAGAUAUACUUAGCAUAUUUCAGGCCUGGGUUUUCUUAAGCCCUAGUGAUAUUCAGAAAGCCAUGUGUCCGUUGUCUCAGAGAACAUGCUCACCGUGUACCGCAGAGGAAGCACCAGCACAGCAGAGAACACGAUUGUUCCCUACUGCAUCUCAGUCAUAGCAUCAAGUUAUAUGUGGUCACAGAAGGCUACUUGGUCAUUUACACUCUGAAUUCAGAAACUGGAAGAGUUUAAGAAAACAUGCAAAAUGCUGAGGAUACAUGUAAGUGAAAUAUUUAAUGUCCAUCAUUCAUAAAAGUUACAUUGUUUACAUAGGGUUCAUUAGUAUAUAAUAAAAAUGUCAUCUUAAUGAAAGAUUUUCUGGCA